RNAcentral lists this ribosomal RNA (188 nucleotides) under uncultured Staphylococcus sp. Its description in RNAcentral is "partial 16S ribosomal RNA". It matches the Rfam family "Bacterial small subunit ribosomal RNA", at positions 152 to 334 of the family's 1533-position model. Lineage: Bacteria; Bacillati; Bacillota; Bacilli; Caryophanales; Staphylococcaceae. The record is from RNAcentral.
GGAAACCGGAGCUAGUACCGGAUAAUAUUUUGAACCGCAUGGUUCAAAAGUGAAAGACGGUCUUGCUGUCACUUAUAGAUGGAUCCGCGCUGCAUUAGCUAGUUGGUAAGGUAACGGCUUACCAAGGCAACGAUGCAUAGCCGACCUGAGAGGGUGAUCGGCCACACUGGAACUGAGACACGGUCCAG